GGCGGCAUGCCUAACACAUGCAAGUCGAACGGUAACAGGUCUUCGGAUGCUGACGAGUGGCGCACGGGUGAGUAACGCGUGGAUAUCUGCCUAUGAGUGGGGGACAACUUUCGGAAACGAAAGCUAAUACCGCAUAAUCUCUACGGAGCAAAGCAGGGGACCUUUCGGGGCCUUGUGCUUAUAGAUGAGUCCGCGUCAGAUUAGCUAGUUGGUGGGGUAAGAGCCUACCAAGGCGAUGAUCUGUAGCUGGUUUGAGAGGAUGAUCAGUCACACUGGAACUGAGACACGGUCCAGACUCCUACGGGAGGCAGCAGUGGGGAAUUUUGCACAAUGGGCGCAAGCCUGAUGCAGCGAUGCCGCGUGUGGGAAGAAGGCCUUUGGGUUGUAAACCACUUUCAAUUGGGAAGAAGGGAUGAGUAUUAAUAAUACUCUGACUUGACGGUACCUUUAGAAGAAGCACCGGCUAAUUUCGUGCCAGCAGCCGCGGUAAUACGAAAGGUGCAAGCGUUGUUCGGAUUUACUGGGCGUAAAGAGAUCGUAGGUGGUUUGUUAAGUUAGAUGUGAAAUCCCGGGGCUCAACCUCGGAACUGCAUCUAAAACUGGCAGACUUGAGUUCGGGAGGGGUAAGCGGAAUUCCGUGUGUAGCAGUGAAAUGCGUAGAUAUACGGAGGAACACCUGAGGCGAAGGCGGCUUACUGGACCGAUACUGACACUGAGGAUCGAAAGCGUGGGUAGCAAACAGGAUUAGAUACCCUGGUAGUCCACGCCCUAAACGAUGUCAACUAGCCGUUGCGGGUAUCGACCCCUGCAGUGGCGCAGCUAACGCGAUAAGUUGACCGCCUGGGGAGUAC
This 851-nucleotide ribosomal RNA is filed under the name uncultured Zetaproteobacteria bacterium. RNAcentral's name for it is "bacterial SSU rRNA". It matches the Rfam family "Bacterial small subunit ribosomal RNA", at positions 38 to 883 of the family's 1533-position model. The record is from RNAcentral. Lineage: Bacteria; Pseudomonadati; Pseudomonadota; Candidatius Mariprofundia.